UUAGGGCCCGAGCGUAGCUGCUAAGCAGCUGCGAGAGCCCUCUUGUUCCUGUAGUUUCCUUCUUUUGUUAUUAUUAUUAGGGCCCGAGCGUAGCUGCUAAGCAGCUGCGAGAGCCCUCUUGUUCCUGUAGUUUCCUUCUUUUGUUAUUAUUAUUAUUAUUAUUAUUUUUCCUCCCCUUUGAACUGGAAAAUGGCCCACUUCCCACUGGCGAAAACUCAUGAAAUUUGGCAGGACGACCGGGCCUGGUGAAAAAUUUGAUAUUCCGAAGUCGCCCAAACAAGAAAAUGCAAAAUGGCUCCAUAGCGCCCCCUAAGGUGAAAAUUCACACUAUUGACUGUCACGCCUGUACGCUUUGUCAAAAUGACACAAAAAUUGACACACACAUGUAUCUCAAUAAGAUCUACAAAAAAGUCAGUGCGGGCGUAUCUGUCAAAUGUACGGUUAAAGGGUUAUUUCGCAUUUUUUGCCGAUCCGCACACAUUGGAAUUUCGCUAACUCCUCCGAAGGCUUUCGUUCCACCGGCACCACAUUUGCUCAGGCCAAUCUACACCCCAUGGCCAUUAAAAGUUAUUCAAAUCAUGACGCUGCACCCCACGGUUUAGGUUCUAGGGGGCGCCAAAGAUAACCCUAAGAUCCACAUAUUUCAAAGUCUUAUAACUUUUUAUUUUUGCCCUCACUGGCCUCCAAGUUUUCUAGGAUGAUGCAAUGUCCAGCCAUCAACACAUUUGUGAAGGAAUUUUUACUCCCCAAAAGAGCGCCCCCCCAUGGCAGGAGAAAAAAGUCCAUUUUUUCUUGUCCCCUAAGGUGAAAAUACACAUUGUUGAGUGUAACACCUGUACGCUUUGGCAAAAUGACACAAAAAUUGACACACACAUGUAUCUCAAUAAGAUCUACGAAAAAGUCAAUGCGCGCGUAUCUGUCAAAUGUACGGUUAAAGGGUUAUUCCGCAUUUUUUGCCGAUCCGCACACAUUGGAAUUUCGCUAACUCCUCCGAAGGCUUUCAUUCCACCGGUACCACAUUUGCUCAGGCCAAUCUACACCCCAUGGCCAUUAAAAGUUAUUCAAAUCAUGACGCUGCAUCCCACGGUUUAGGUUCUAGGGGGCGCCAAAGAUAACCCUAAAAUCCACAUAUUUAAAAGUCUUAUAACUUUUUAUUUUUGUCCUCACUGGCCUCCAAGUUUUCUAGGAUGAUGCAAUGUCCAGCCAUCAACACAUUUGUGAAGGAAUUUUUACUCCCCAAAAGAGCGCCCCCCCAUGGCAGGAAAAAAAAGCCAAUUUUUUCUUGUCCCCUAAGGUGGAAAUUCACACUAUUGACUGUCACGCCUGUACGCUUUAUCAUAUUGACACAAAAAUUGACACACAUAUGUAUCUCAAUAAGAUCUACAAAAGAGUCGAUUCGCGCGUAUCUGUCAAAUGUACGGUUAAAGGGCUAUUUUGCAUUUUUUGCCGAUUCGCACACAUUGGAAUGUGGCUAACUCCUCCUAAGGCUUUCGUCCCACUGACACCAAAUUUGCUCAGGCCAAUCUACACCCCAUGGCCAUUCAAAGUUGUAAAAAUCAUGACGCUGCACCCCACGGUUUACGUUCUAGGGGGCGCCAAAGAUGACCCAAAAAUCCACAUUCUUCAAAGAAUCCACAUCCCCCCCCCCCCCCCAUAUGGCAGGAGAAAAAGUUAAGUUUUUCCUGCCCAUCGCUCAAUGGCUCAAUCGCAUCGCUCUCCAGGCAACACCGUAAGGAGGAGCAACCUGCCAUUUCGAUAUAUCAUAGCUGUGUUUGUGCCCUCACUCAUGGUCCAGACUUUUUUCAAAUAGGACAUGAAGUUUGUCUGCAGCGAGUGUUUUGGUAGAAACUGCGCCUCCCAUUCAUUAUAAUAGGAAAUGACCACAGACAAGUGCGCACACCAUCUUUGGAUCUUGAGUGUGACGCGAUCGGGAGGGGGAGGCGGUCGCACUGGGGGCGGCGCGACACGGCUCGGGCCCGACAGUGCCCCAACGGGGUCCUAGUUAUUAUUUUUCCUCCCCUUUGAACUGGAAAAUGGCCCACUUCCCACUGGCGAAAACUCAUGAAAUUUGGCAGGACGACCGGGCCUGGUGAAAAAUUUGAUAUUCCGAAGUCGCCCAAACAAGAAAAUGCAAAAUGGCUCCAUAGCACCCCCUAAGGUGAAAAUUCACACUAUUCACUGUCACGCCGGUACGCUUUGUCAAAAUGACACAAAAAUUGACACACACAUGUAUCUCAAUAAGAUCUACAAAAAAGUCAGUGCAGGCGUAUCUGUCAAAUGUACGGUUAAAGGGUUAUUGCGCAUUUUUUGCCGAUCCGCACACAUUGGAAUUUCGCUAACUCCUCCGAAGGCUUUCGUUCCACCGGCACCACAUUUGCUCAGGCCAAUCUACACCCCAUGGCCAUUAAAAGUUAUUCAAAUCAUGACGCUGCACCCCACGGUUUAGGUUCUAGGGGGCGCCAAAGAUAACCCUAAAAUCCACAUAUUUCAAAGUCUUAUAACUUUUUAUUUUUGCCCUCACUGGCCUCCAAGUUUUCUAGGAUGAUGCAAUGUCCAGCCAUCAACACAUUUGUGAAGGAAUUUUUACUCCCCAAAAGAGCGCCCCCCCAUGGCAGGAGAAAAAAGUCCAUUUUUUCUUGUCCCAUAAGGUGAAAAUUCACACUAUUGACUGUCACGCCUGUACGCUUUGGCAAAAUGACACAAAAAUUGACACACACAUGUAUCUCAAUAAGAUCUACGAAAAAGUCAAUGCGCGCGUAUCUGUCAAAUGUACGGUUAAAGGGUUAUUGCGCAUUUUUUGCCGAUCCGCACACAUUGGAAUUUCGCUAACUCCUCCGAAGGCUUUCGUUCCACCGGCACCACAUUUGCUCAGGCCAAUCUACACCCCAUGGCCAUUAAAAGUUAUUCAAAUCAUGACGCUGCACCCCACGGUUUAGGUUCUAGGGGGAGCCAAAGAUAACCGUAAAAUCCACAUAUUUAAAAGUCUUAUAACUUUUUAUUUUUGUCCCCACUGGCCUCCAAGUUUUCUAGGAUGAUGCAAUGUCCAGCCAUCAACACAUUUGUGAAGGAAUUUUUACUCGCCAAAAGAGCGCCCCCCCAUGGCAGGAGAAAAAAGUCCAUUUUUUCUUGUCCACUAAGGUGAAAAUACACAUUGUUGAGUGCUACGCCUGUAUGUUUUGUCGUAUUGACACAAAAUUUUACAUACACGUGUAUUUACAUAAGAUCUUCGAAAAAGUCAAUGGCCACGUAUCUGUAAAAUGUACGGUUAAAGGGUUAUUUCGCAUUUUUUGCAGAUUCGCACACAUUGGAAUUUCGCUAAUUCCUCCGAAGGCUUUCGUUCCACCGGCACCACAUUU
This 3356-nucleotide long non-coding RNA is filed under the name Xyrichtys novacula (pearly razorfish). The record is from RNAcentral. Lineage: Eukaryota; Metazoa; Chordata; Actinopteri; Labriformes; Labridae.